AAGCCAUUGGUUAGUAAAGCCAAGCGUACCAUGAUCAGAUAAAAGGGUGGGCAGUGCCAGGCCCCUGCGUCACUCUCUGCCCACCUGGCAGCCACAGGAGGGCAGCCACGAGCCUGACAGUAUGUCGGGAGAGCAGCGAGCACAGAACUUAAAGAGUCUAUCAACGCAUCGUGAACUAGGCCACCACUGCAGGGAAGACAUCAACUGUACCAGUGAGAGAAAGGAUGUGGAGAAUAAUAUUUUUCCACCUUUGACUUUCAUCCCCCUUCCCACUCUCUGGGAAUGUCCAGGCAUUUCAGAG
Molecule: long non-coding RNA, 301 nt
Organism: Oncorhynchus tshawytscha (Chinook salmon)
Lineage: Eukaryota; Metazoa; Chordata; Actinopteri; Salmoniformes; Salmonidae
Source: Ensembl